This 103-nucleotide microRNA precursor is filed under the name Manihot esculenta (cassava). Lineage: Eukaryota; Viridiplantae; Streptophyta; Magnoliopsida; Malpighiales; Euphorbiaceae. The record is from RNAcentral.
AUCUGUAGAAUGCAGCCAAGAAUGACUUGCCGGAGUUUUCGUGCUUGAGCUCCGGUUGGUGUAAAGAACUUCAUCCGGCAGGUUGUUCUUGGCUACAUUCAGU